Molecule: non-coding RNA, 73 nt
Organism: Schistocerca cancellata (South American locust)
Lineage: Eukaryota; Metazoa; Arthropoda; Insecta; Orthoptera; Acrididae
Source: the annotation of a RefSeq genome assembly
GUUUGGAUGGCUUAGUGGUUAGAGGAUCUGCCUAGUGAGCAGGAGACCUGGGUUUGAAUCCCAGUCCAGCACA